RNAcentral lists this ribosomal RNA (1042 nucleotides) under Campylobacter jejuni. RNAcentral's name for it is "partial 23S ribosomal RNA". It matches the Rfam family "Bacterial large subunit ribosomal RNA", at positions 1 to 1055 of the family's 2925-position model. Lineage: Bacteria; Pseudomonadati; Campylobacterota; Epsilonproteobacteria; Campylobacterales; Campylobacteraceae. The record is from RNAcentral.
UAAAAAAAGGUAAGCUACUAAGAGCGAAUGGUGGAUGCCUUGACUGGUAAAGGCGAUGAAGGACGUACUAGACUGCGAUAAGCUACGGGGAGCUGUCAAGAAGCUUUGAUCCGUAGAUUUCCGAAUGGGGCAACCCAAUGUAUAGAGAUAUACAUUACCUAUAUAGGAGCGAACGAGGGGAAUUGAAACAUCUUAGUACCCUCAGGAAAAGAAAUCAAUAGAGAUUGCGUCAGUAGCGGCGAGCGAAAGCGCAAGAGGGCAAACCCAGUGCUUGCACUGGGGGUUGUAGGACUGCAAUGUGCAAGAGGUAAGUUUAGCAGAACAUUCUGGAAAGUAUAACCAUAGAGGGUGAUAGUCCCGUAUGCGAAAAACAAACCUUAGCUAGCAGUAUCCUGAGUAGGGCGGGACACGAGGAAUCCUGUCUGAAUCCGGGUCGACCACGAUCCAACCCUAAAUACUAAUACCAGAUCGAUAGUGCACAAGUACCGUGAGGGAAAGGUGAAAAGAACUGAGGUGAUCAGAGUGAAAUAGAACCUGAAACCAUUUGCUUACAAUCAUUCAGAGCCCUAUGUAGCAAUACAGGGUGAUGGACUGCCUUUUGCAUAAUGAGCCUGCGAGUUGUGGUGUCUGGCAAGGUUAAGCAAACGCGAAGCCGUAGCGAAAGCGAGUCUGAAUAGGGCGCUUAGUCAGAUGCUGCAGACCCGAAACGAAGUGAUCUAUCCAUGAGCAAGUUGAAGCUAGUGUAAGAACUAGUGGAGGACUGAACCCAUAGGCGUUGAAAAGCCCCGGGAUGACUUGUGGAUAGGGGUGAAAGGCCAAUCAAACUUCGUGAUAGCUGGUUCUCUCCGAAAUAUAUUUAGGUAUAGCGUUGUGUCGUAAUAUAAGGGGGUAGAGCACUGAAUGGGCUAGGGCAUACACCAAUGUACCAAACCCUAUCAAACUCCGAAUACCUUAUAUGUAAUCACAGCAGUCAGGCGGCGAGUGAUAAAAUCCGUCGUCAAGAGGGAAACAACCCAGACUACCAGCUAAGGUCCCUAAAUCU